This 85-nucleotide transfer RNA is filed under the name Betaproteobacteria bacterium UKL13-2. Its description in RNAcentral is "tRNA-Leu". It matches the Rfam family "tRNA". Rfam says of the family: Transfer RNA (tRNA) molecules are approximately 80 nucleotides in length. Their secondary structure includes four short double-helical elements and three loops (D, anti-codon, and T loops). Further hydrogen bonds mediate the characteristic L-shaped molecular structure. tRNAs have two regions of fundamental functional importance: the anti-codon, which is responsible for specific mRNA codon recognition, and the 3' end, to which the tRNAs corresponding amino acid is attached (by aminoacyl-tRNA synthetases). tRNAs cope with the degeneracy of the genetic code in two manners: having more than one tRNA (with a specific anti-codon) for a particular amino acid; and 'wobble' base-pairing, i.e. permitting non-standard base-pairing at the 3rd anti-codon position. RNAcentral also lists the same sequence under 3 other names. The record is from RNAcentral. Lineage: Bacteria; Pseudomonadati; Pseudomonadota; Betaproteobacteria.
GCGAGUGUGGCGGAAUUGGUAGACGCACUGGAUUUAGGUUCCAGCGCCGCAAGGUGUGUGGGUUCGAGUCCCUCCACUCGCACCA